UACGAAGGGGGCUAGCGUUAAUCGGAAUUACUGGGCGUAAAGCGUGCGCAGGCGGUUUUGUAAGCCCGAUGUGAAAUCCCCGGGCUUAACCUGGGAAUGGCAUUUGGGACUGCAAGGCUGGAGUGCGGCAGAGGAGACUGGAAUUCCUGGUGUAGCAGUGAAAUGCGUAGAUAUCAGGAGGAAUACCGAUGGCGAAGGCAGGUCUCUGGGCUGACACUGACGCUCAUGCACGAAAGCGUGGGGAGCAAACAGG
Molecule: ribosomal RNA, 253 nt
Filed under: uncultured bacterium
Lineage: Bacteria
Description: partial 16S ribosomal RNA
Rfam family: Bacterial small subunit ribosomal RNA
Source: RNAcentral